This 1361-nucleotide ribosomal RNA is filed under the name Microbacterium dextranolyticum. RNAcentral describes it as "bacterial SSU rRNA". It matches the Rfam family "Bacterial small subunit ribosomal RNA", at positions 71 to 1442 of the family's 1533-position model. Lineage: Bacteria; Bacillati; Actinomycetota; Actinomycetes; Micrococcales; Microbacteriaceae. The record is from RNAcentral.
ACCAGGAGCUUGCUCUUGGGGAUCAGUGGCGAACGGGUGAGUAACACGUGAGCAAUCUGCCCCUGACUCUGGGAUAAGCGCUGGAAACGGCGUCUAAUACUGGAUACGAGCCGUGAAGGCAUCUUCAACGGUUGGAAAGAUUUUUCGGUCAGGGAUGAGCUCGCGGCCUAUCAGCUUGUUGGUGAGGUAAUGGCUCACCAAGGCGUCGACGGGUAGCCGGCCUGAGAGGGUGACCGGCCACACUGGGACUGAGACACGGCCCAGACUCCUACGGGAGGCAGCAGUGGGGAAUAUUGCACAAUGGGCGCAAGCCUGAUGCAGCAACGCCGCGUGAGGGAUGACGGCCUUCGGGUUGUAAACCUCUUUUAGCAGGGAAGAAGCGAAAGUGACGGUACCUGCAGAAAAAGCGCCGGCUAACUACGUGCCAGCAGCCGCGGUAAUACGUAGGGCGCAAGCGUUAUCCGGAAUUAUUGGGCGUAAAGAGCUCGUAGGCGGUUUGUCGCGUCUGCUGUGAAAUCCCGAGGCUCAACCUCGGGUCUGCAGUGGGUACGGGCAGACUAGAGUGCGGUAGGGGAGAUUGGAAUUCCUGGUGUAGCGGUGGAAUGCGCAGAUAUCAGGAGGAACACCGAUGGCGAAGGCAGAUCUCUGGGCCGUAACUGACGCUGAGGAGCGAAAGGGUGGGGAGCAAACAGGCUUAGAUACCCUGGUAGUCCACCCCGUAAACGUUGGGAACUAGUUGUGGGGUCCAUUCCACGGAUUCCGUGACGCAGCUAACGCAUUAAGUUCCCCGCCUGGGGAGUACGGCCGCAAGGCUAAAACUCAAAGGAAUUGACGGGGACCCGCACAAGCGGCGGAGCAUGCGGAUUAAUUCGAUGCAACGCGAAGAACCUUACCAAGGCUUGACAUACACGAGAACGCUGCAGAAAUGUAGAACUCUUUGGACACUCGUGAACAGGUGGUGCAUGGUUGUCGUCAGCUCGUGUCGUGAGAUGUUGGGUUAAGUCCCGCAACGAGCGCAACCCUCGUUCUAUGUUGCCAGCACGUAAUGGUGGGAACUCAUGGGAUACUGCCGGGGUCAACUCGGAGGAAGGUGGGGAUGACGUCAAAUCAUCAUGCCCCUUAUGUCUUGGGCUUCACGCAUGCUACAAUGGCCGGUACAAAGGGCUGCGAUACCGUAAGGUGGAGCGAAUCCCAAAAAGCCGGUCCCAGUUCGGAUUGAGGUCUGCAACUCGACCUCAUGAAGUCGGAGUCGCUAGUAAUCGCAGAUCAGCAACGCUGCGGUGAAUACGUUCCCGGGUCUUGUACACACCGCCCGUCAAGUCAUGAAAGUCGGUAACACCUGAAGCCGGUGGCCCAACCCU